RNAcentral lists this ribosomal RNA (253 nucleotides) under uncultured bacterium. RNAcentral's name for it is "partial 16S ribosomal RNA". It matches the Rfam family "Bacterial small subunit ribosomal RNA", at positions 524 to 776 of the family's 1533-position model. The record is from RNAcentral.
UACGUAGGGGGCUAGCGUUGUCCGGAAUCAUUGGGCGUAAAGAGCGUGUAGGCGGUCCGGUAAGUCCGCUGUGAAAGUCAGGGGCUCAACCCCUGAAUGCGGGUGGAUACUGCUGGGCUAGAGUCCGGAAGAGGCGAGUGGAAUUCCUGGUGUAGCGGUGAAAUGCGCAGAUAUCAGGAGGAACACCGAUGGCGAAGGCAGCUCGCUGGGACGGUACUGACGCUGAGGCGCGAAAGCGUGGGGAGCAAACAGG